Capsicum annuum is the source of this 626-nucleotide long non-coding RNA. RefSeq lists it as uncharacterized. The record is from RefSeq and is a predicted model, not a curated record. The transcript is spliced from 3 exons. Lineage: Eukaryota; Viridiplantae; Streptophyta; Magnoliopsida; Solanales; Solanaceae.
UCAACAAAAGAGAUAGCUUUUGCCAAUUUAACUAAUAAUAAAGGCAUUGGCUUUACCACUGGAAGCACAGUGUCUCUAACAAAGGCAGAAUUGCUAUCUGCUUAGUCUCAUGCAAAAGAAAGAAAAAGAUGAUCAAAUUAUUCGUUCAGUGAAAAGAAAAGAAAGCUUAAGGAUUUUGACUGGAAAUUCUUUUGGGUUCAAGAUUCGAUGGAAGGAAGUCCCAUCAAUUGUUCGAGGUGACAAGUUGGUAUUCACGAAUUUGUUCAAGAACACAGGUGACGGUGAGGAUCGUGUUGGCUAGAGGAUCCGAGUGACAUAUUCUUAGUGAGCCCCACAAUUGUUCACGUGGGCUAUAAUUUAUUUAUUCGUUAUGGUUCUUUUUCUUGAAAACUCUUAGUUUGCUCUAUAGUCAUGUCUGUAGAGUUUUGAAUCUUUAGUUAUUUUGGAUUUGUAGAAUAUUGAAAUUUCCUCUCAUGUUCUGGAGAUGGAUUUUAUGUUGUUAGUUGGUGGUAUUGGAGAAGUGUUGAUAAUCUCUGGUGUUGGUGGUUGUGCUGUUGGGUUGUUUUGUUGUUGAAUUGCGACAGAAAAUUUUCUUGUUAGGCCUAAAAACAGUGGAAAUUUUGCCU